CCAGGCCAUGCACUUGACCCUUAUCUAAAAACUUCAUCCAAGCUAUGAAGCUUGGAUCCAAGCUACAGUUUUCUAAAGAAAAACGCAAGGCAUUCUAAACGCCAAAUACUGAGUUCAAAAAUUUAAACCCCGAACUGCUAAAAAGCAGUUUUUCUGACAUUCAAAAGAGAAAGUUAGAGCUUUUCCUGGGCCACCGAGGCAUUGGAAAGAUUCAGUGAAAACCCAGGAAAGAGCAGAGCCCCAGAAGAGCAGACCCGUCACAAAGGCCCACAAGGGGAGGCCACAGUCCGGACACAGACACAGUACCCAACAGCUGCUAUGUGGACACAGCUAAGCUGGACUCUGAGGUUGGACCAAGAUCAAAGCCUCCUCUUAAGCAACAGAUCAAUUUCUGGCUCAGCCAUCAUCAGAGAAGAUGGAAACUAAUACAGAGACCCACAAGUGAACAUGUGUGGAGAGCGGAGAGACUUGAAACACUCAGUUCUGAAUGGCAGGUCAGCAAACCUCUCCCCUCAGAGCUCAGGGAACUAUGCAAAGCAAGAGAUGGAAAGAUUGUAAGAGUCCAGAGAGGAUGGACUACAAGAUGGAGACAGCGUCUUACAGGAACAACAGGACUGAUGCUUUGUGAACUCACGCAGACUGAGCAGGCUACACACGGCUUGCACUGCCUUAAGUCAGACAGGGUCCUUGGGUGAGGCGGGAGGGGGCGAAGUAGACAGGAGCUCCCAUCCCUAACCAAGAAGCUGUCUCCAAACUGGCAACCACUGGAGAAAAAAAUCAAUUUUCUCCAAUGAAGCCAAUGGGUAUUAUAAACUACACUCACAGGCAGGCCCCAUGCCCAUAAGCUGUUCACAAAAUGAAUUCAGCAGUAUUUUUGUAGACUUAUUUGGCCAUUUCUUGUGCUUUCUCUCUCUCUCUCUUUUUUUAUUCUGUCUUUUCGACCUUUUUAAUUGGCCUGUUCAUUUUCUAAGGAAAGAAAGUAUGGAAUUGGAUGCGUGGGAAUAUGGAGAGGACCUGGAAGUAGGGGCAGGGUGUGAUCAGAUUACGUUGUGUGAAAAAAAAAUAAUUUUCAAUUAAAAAUUUUUGAUCACAUAGAAGUUUAAUUAUCUCAGAUCCUGAAUUCUAAACUCCAUGGAGUACUGAAGACAUAUCCUGUACUUUCAUGGCUCAGACAAAAUUGUUUAUUGCACCAUCUGUCAUCUUCUUGGCUGAUGAUGAAAUAAUAGAAAUAUUUCUGAAAACAUUUUAUAUGUGAAUGUAUCUCUUAAACAAUACUUCUCAUGCAUACAAUGUCAAUUCCUAUCUUUUGCUAGUUGCUAGCUAUGUUACUUUAUUUUGUUGUGUUUCUUUUGUUAUAAAUACUGAUGUUUUCUUAAUGAUUUGCAAAUAUUAUAUUUGUUGUGUAUAUUUUCAUUUUAUUGACGGUAUUAUUUACUGCAAGAAUUCAUAAUUUUGUGUAAUCUAACUUAGUAUUUCCUGACAGUUGUACUUUUGUUGUCACAUGUAAGAGAUCAUUGCCUAACUGAGGAGAAUGAAAAUUUAGACCUGUUUUCCUCUAAAGAUGCUAAUUUAUUCAGCUCAGUCUGAUCAGUGAUUGGUUUUUCUGUUAACUUUUGUGUGCUAGAUUAAAAGGAAGGCCAGCUUCAUUGUUUUGUAGGUGGAUACUCAGUUAUCUCAGCAUCAUUUGUUAAGGAGACUCUUAGUCUCCCAGUGAGUAGUUUUGACACGCUUAUCAAAAAUGACGAUGAAUAAAUGCAAGAUUUUAUUUCUUGGUUAUAUUCA
Long non-coding RNA from Myodes glareolus (Bank vole), 1782 nucleotides. RefSeq lists it as uncharacterized. Lineage: Eukaryota; Metazoa; Chordata; Mammalia; Rodentia; Cricetidae. The record is from RefSeq and is a predicted model, not a curated record.